UAUGAACGCUAGCGAUAGGCUUAACACAUGCAAGUCGAACGGAGUUCCUUCGGGGACUUAGUGGCGAACGGGUGAGUAACGCGUGAGAAACCUGCCUUUCAGUGGGGGACAACAGUUGGAAACGACUGCUAAUACCGCAUAAUGUCAUUUGAGGGCAUCCUCGAAUGACCAAAGAUUUAUUGCUGAAAGAUGGUCUCGCGUCUGAUUAGCUAGUCGGUGAGGUAACGGCUCACCAAGGCGACGAUCAGUAGCCGGUCUGAGAGGAUGAACGGCCACAUUGGGACUGAGAUACGGCCCAG
Molecule: ribosomal RNA, 299 nt
Filed under: uncultured bacterium
Lineage: Bacteria
Description: partial 16S ribosomal RNA
Rfam family: Bacterial small subunit ribosomal RNA
Source: RNAcentral